UGUCAGAGGACGACGUUUGCCCCUCCCC
Molecule: non-coding RNA, 28 nt
Filed under: Bombyx mori (domestic silkworm)
Lineage: Eukaryota; Metazoa; Arthropoda; Insecta; Lepidoptera; Bombycidae
Source: RNAcentral